UGCAGUCGGACGGCAGCGCGGGGGCACCCUGGCGGCGAGUGGCGAACGGGUGAGUAAUACAUCGGAACGUGUCCUGGAGUGGGGGAUAGCCCGGCGAAAGCCGGAUUAAUACCGCAUACGCUCGGGAGAGGAAAGCGGGGGAUCUUCGGACCUCGCGCUCAAGGGGCGGCCGAUGGCAGAUUAGCUAGUUGGUGGGGUAAAGGCCUACCAAGGCGACGAUCUGUAGCUGGUCUGAGAGGACGACCAGCCACACUGGGACUGAGACACGGCCCAGACUCCUACCGGAGGCAGCAGUGGGGAAUUUUGGACAAUGGGGGCAACCCUGAUCCAGCAAUGCCGCGUGUGUGAAGAAUGCCUUCCGGUUGUAAAGCACUUUUGUCCGGAAAGAAAACUUCGUCGUUAAUACCGAUGGAGGAUGACGGUACCGGAAGAAUAAGCACCGGCUAACUACGUGCCAGCAGCCGCGGUAAUACGUACGGUGCGAGCGUUAAUCGGAAUUACUGGGCGUAAAGCGUGCGCAGGCGGUUCGCUAAGACCGAUGUGAAAUCCCCUGGCUUAACCUGGGAACUGCAUUGGUGACUGGCGGGCUAUAGUAUGGCAGAGGGGGGUAGAAUUCCACGUGUAUCAGUGAAAUGCGUACAGAUGUGGAGGAAUACCGAUGGCGAAGGCAGCCCCCUGGGCCAAUACUGACGCUCAUGCACGAAAGCGUGGGGAGCAAACAGGAUUAGAUACCCUGGUAGUCCACGCCCUAAACGAUGUCAACUAGUUGUCGGGUCUUCAUUGACUUGGUAACGUAGCUAACGCGUGAAGUUGACCGCCUGGGGAGUACGGUCCCAAGAUUAAAACUCAA
This 850-nucleotide ribosomal RNA is filed under the name uncultured bacterium. RNAcentral's name for it is "bacterial SSU rRNA". It matches the Rfam family "Bacterial small subunit ribosomal RNA", at positions 56 to 904 of the family's 1533-position model. The record is from RNAcentral.